This 217-nucleotide ribosomal RNA is filed under the name Glomeromycotina sp. RNAcentral describes it as "partial small subunit ribosomal RNA". The stretch from base 40 to 217 matches the Rfam family "Eukaryotic small subunit ribosomal RNA", at positions 686 to 864 of the family's 1831-position model. The record is from RNAcentral. Lineage: Eukaryota; Fungi; Glomeromycota.
GGGUCAGUAGGUUGGUCGUGCCACCGGUACGUACUGGUCUCACUGAUUCCUCCUUCCUGAAGAACCGUAAUGCCAUUAAUUUGGUGUUGCGGGGAAACAGGACUGUUACUUUGAAAAAAAUUAGAGUGUUUAAAGCAAGCUAACGCUUGAAUACAUUAGCAUGGAAUAAUGAAAUAGGACGAUCGAUCCUAUUUUGUUGGUUUCUAGGAUUGACGUA